AUUGUGGGAGGGAGGCAGAAAGGAUGGAGCCCCAGGGCUUGGUCUCCAGCAAGGUGAAGAGGAACUCACUGUUCAGCACCAUGCCCAGGGUUGUUCCUAGGAUUUGCUGAGGCAAAAUCAAGAGAAAAAUAGAAGAUGACAUCAUGUUCCCGGUGCCCAGGAGCCCACUGGAAACAAUUGGAGGAAACAUCAGAGACAGGUCCUUGCAUGUAGUAGCAGCAACUGCCAAGAAAAUCCCCGGUCUCCGCUUUCCAUGGAAUUCAGACCAAUCUGUGGGAAGUUUGCUCACCUGUACCUCCAGGAGGCUUCUGGAAUCGUCCCCUCCACCCCUAUAACCAGACCCUGGUCCAAACUCCUGUCCCCCUGCUCUGGCUGUCACAGAAGGAACCUCCUAACUUGUAACUUGCCUCUUCUGUAGACCUUCCCCUUCCUUGGUUCAUUCCCUACUGAACAGCCAGAUCCUAGGUUAGCUCACAAUGUCCCCCUGUUUGAAACCUAACGGAUUCCCCUGGCUCUGGGAAUAAAAGCCAAGCUUCCUACCUGG
This is a long non-coding RNA of Neogale vison (American mink), 544 nucleotides long. RefSeq lists it as uncharacterized. The transcript has 2 exons. Lineage: Eukaryota; Metazoa; Chordata; Mammalia; Carnivora; Mustelidae. The record is from RefSeq and is a predicted model, not a curated record.